This 335-nucleotide unclassified non-coding RNA is filed under the name soil metagenome. Its description in RNAcentral is "partial contains 5.8S ribosomal RNA, internal transcribed spacer 2, and large subunit ribosomal RNA". The stretch from base 1 to 120 matches the Rfam family "5.8S ribosomal RNA", at positions 35 to 154 of the family's 154-position model. The record is from RNAcentral.
GAUGAAGAACGUAGCGAAAUGCGAUAAGUAGUGUGAAUUGCAGAAUUCAGUGAAUCAUCGAAUCUUUGAACGCACAUUGCGCCCUUUGGUAUUCCUUAGGGCAUGCCUGUUCGAGCGUCAUUUAAACCUUCAAGCCCUGCUUGGUGUUGGGUGCCUGUCCCGCCUCCGCGCGUGGACUCACCUCAAAUCCAUUGGCGGCCCCCGCACGGCCACGAGCGCAGCAGAAACGCAAACUCGUGCCCCGACCGGGCGGCGCCCAGAAGCUACACUCACCAUUUUGACCUCGGAUCAGGUAGGGAUACCCGCUGAACUUAAGCAUAUCAAUAAGCGGAGGA